GAUGAACGCUGGCGGCGUGCCUAAUACAUGCAAGUCGAGCGAACGGACGAGGAGCUUGCUUCUCUGACGUUAGCGGCGGACGGGUGAGUAACACGUGGAUAACCUACCUAUAAGACUGGGAUAACUUCGGGAAACCGGAGCUAAUACCGGAUGAUAUUUUGAACCGCAUGGUUCAAUAGUGAAAGACGGUCUUGCUGUCACUUAUAGAUGGAUCCGCGCUGCAUUAGCUAGUUGGUAAGGUAACGGCUUACCAAGGCAACGAUGCGUAGCCGACCUGAGAGGGUGAUCGGCCACACUGGAACUGAGACACGGUCCAGACUCCUACGGGAGGCAGCAGUAGGGAAUCUUCCGCAAUGGGCGAAAGCCUGACGGAGCAACGCCGCGUGAGUGAUGAAGGUCUUCGGAUCGUAAAACUCUGUUAUUAGGGAAGAACAUAUGUGUAAGUAACUGUGCACGUCUUGACGUUACCUAAUCAGAAAGCCACGGCUAACUACGUG
RNAcentral lists this ribosomal RNA (497 nucleotides) under uncultured bacterium. RNAcentral describes it as "partial 16S ribosomal RNA". It matches the Rfam family "Bacterial small subunit ribosomal RNA", at positions 28 to 507 of the family's 1533-position model. The record is from RNAcentral.